GGUAAAAUGGCUGAGCAAUAGGCAAUAAAUUGUAAAUUUAUUUACGAAUAAUGAUUCUUUUACCA
This 65-nucleotide transfer RNA is filed under the name Monolepta atrimarginata. RNAcentral's name for it is "tRNA-Tyr". Lineage: Eukaryota; Metazoa; Arthropoda; Insecta; Coleoptera; Chrysomelidae. The record is from RNAcentral.